AGAGUUUGAUCCUGGCUCAGAAUCAACGCUGGCGGCGUGCCUCAGACAUGCAAGUCGAACGCGAAAGUCCCCUUCGGGGGACAAGUAGAGUGGCGCACGGGUGAGUAACACGUAGGUAAUCUACCUUCGGAUGGGGAAUAACAAUCGGAAACGGUUGCUAAUACCGCAUAAUGCAGCGGCACCUAAUGGUGACAGUUGUUAAAGCGGGGGAUCGAAAGACCUCGCGUCUGAAGAGGAGCCUGCGGCGGAUUAGCUAGUUGGUAGGGUAACGGCCUACCAAGGCUACGAUCCGUAGCCGGCCUGAGAGGGCGGUCGGCCACACUGACACUGACAUACGGGUCAGACUCCUACGGGAGGCAGCAGUCGGGAAUUUUGGGCAAUGGGCGAAAGCCUGACCCAGCAACGCCGCGUGAAGGAUGAAAUCCCUCGGGAUGUAAACUUCGCAAGAACGGGAAGAAUAAGUAGGGGACAAUACCCCCUAUGAUGACGGUACCGUUUGUAAGCUCCGGCUAACUCCGUGCCAGCAGCCGCGGUAAUACGGGGGGAGCAAGCGUUGUUCGGAUUUA
RNAcentral lists this ribosomal RNA (566 nucleotides) under uncultured bacterium. RNAcentral describes it as "bacterial SSU rRNA". It matches the Rfam family "Bacterial small subunit ribosomal RNA", at positions 8 to 553 of the family's 1533-position model. The record is from RNAcentral.